UGCAAGUCGUGCGCGUGAAGCGGACAAACGCCCUUCGGGGCGUGCGUUUGUGGAUCGAGCGGCGGACGGGUGCGUAACACGUGGGCAACCUGCCGGCAAGACCGGGAUAACGCCGGGAAACCGGCGCUAAUACCGGAUGAAGCCGGCCAUCGCCUGAUGGCCGGACCAAAGGCGGCUCAUGGAGCUGUCACUUGCCGAGGGGCCCGCGGCGCAUUAGUUAGUUGGUGGGGUAACGGCUCACCAAGGCGACGAUGCGUAGCCGACCUGAGAGGGUGAUCGGCCACACUGGGACUGAGACACGGCCCAGACUCCUACGGGAGGCAGCAGUAGGGAAUCUUCCGCAAUGGACGCAAGUCUGACGGAGCAAUGCCGCGUGAGUGAUGAAGGUUUUCGGAUCGUAAAGCUCUGUUGUCAGGGAAGAACCGGUUUCGCUCUAACAGGGCGAAGCCCUGACGGUACCUGACCAGAAAGCCCCGGCUAACUACGUGCCAGCAGCCGCGGUAAUACGUAGGGGGCAAGCGUUGUCCGGAAUUAUUGGGCGUAAAGCGCACGCAGGCGGUCCUUUAAGUCUGAUGUGAAAUCUUGUGGCUCAACCACAAGCUGCCAUUGGAAACUGGGGGACUUGAGUACAGAAGAGGAGAGUGGAAUUCCACGUGUAGCGGUGAAAUGCGUAGAGAUGUGGAGGAACACCAGUGGCGAAGGCGACUCUCUGGUCUGUAACUGACGCUGAGGUGCGAAAGCGUGGGUAGCAAACAGGAUUAGAUACCCUGGUAGUCCACGCCGUAAACGAUGAGUGCUAGGUGUCAA
This 807-nucleotide ribosomal RNA is filed under the name Bacillaceae bacterium. RNAcentral describes it as "bacterial SSU rRNA". It matches the Rfam family "Bacterial small subunit ribosomal RNA", at positions 56 to 826 of the family's 1533-position model. Lineage: Bacteria; Bacillati; Bacillota; Bacilli; Caryophanales; Bacillaceae. The record is from RNAcentral.